This 1532-nucleotide long non-coding RNA is filed under the name Nicotiana benthamiana. Its description in RNAcentral is "long non-coding RNA (NBEN_LNC025658)". The record is from RNAcentral. Lineage: Eukaryota; Viridiplantae; Streptophyta; Magnoliopsida; Solanales; Solanaceae.
CUUUGAAUUAAUUUCCUAUGUUUGGCUGUGUGUGCUCGUUUCUUCUAUAAGCAUAUGUUGGUGGGUCAUUUAUCGAAGCCACAGGAAGUAGAGUAUGGGCAUAAUUUGUGUUAGCAUUUCUAUCAGCAAAUACCUAACAAUGUUUUUGAAGACUCCUGUUUCAUGUAAGUGCUUAAAUGGAAAUUUUGUUGCAAUCAUUCAAUCAACCAAUAUGUUUUUAUCCCAAACUAGUUGGGCUGGCUAUAUGAACCCUAAAAUCUACGCAGUCGAUGUACUGGGUUUUAUCCUAAAAAUAAAAACAAUGCAUCUCGUUCCUUUUUAAGUCCAACACUUUCAGUUUUUGUUUUGAUAGUAUGAAACUUUAUUUGGCACCGUUUUUCUUCUGUUAGGACAAACCAACCCCAUGCGUACUAUUACGCCUAUGAUGUGUUUGCUUCGUGGAAUCCACCAACCAGACAACACAAAAUUCUUGUGUGUCCAUAUAUAAAAAACUCUCCCUGUAUUAUUAGAAUAAAGUUUAGAAGAUCAUCAGUUCGAGAGUGUGAGUGAGGGUCUUAGCACCAAACAUUGUGUAUAUUGGUCUCUAGACAACAUAGGUUGUGUAUAUUGGUCUCUAGAUCAUAACAGUCUUGCAUAAGAGGAAGCAACUCAUCUGAAUGGAGGUCAAAAGACCAAUGGCAAUUUUAUCAAAUUCAUCACCUAUAGGUGAGUAAUCUUGAUUUUGUUUUUUCCACUUUUUUAAUCUUUGCAAUUGGCUUUUCCGGAUUUAUACAAGUGUAAGUUGGACUUUACUCUUAUUAAUUUCAAACUACACUUCUAUGACACCAUCAUGUGCACUUGUUAGUGGUGAAAAAGUGUUGUUUUAUGAAUUUUCGAAUGCAAUUUAGCCAAUCCCAAAAGGUCUUGAAAAAAGGAGAAGAAAAAACACAAAUAGCCGCCACCUAAUCUCUUAAGCUAAAAAUAACCGGCAAAUAUAUAUAUAAUUGUGUAUGAUCAAUGUAUAAUCUAUAUAUACCGGUUAGAAAAAAUAAACACUGAAUCUGGCCGGCUAUGGAAAGGUAAUUUCAAUUGUAAAUUUCAUGCCAGAUAGAUAAAUGAGCACAAAAUGGCAAUGAUUUAAAAGAUAACACUUUCAGUUCGUAUUAUCAAACGACUCUGCUAUCAAAACCAUUCACUUAAAGUAAUAUGAUUCAUAAUUGGGUCUUGAAUAUAGAAGAGUAUAAUGCUACUAUAUAUUAUCUCCGGACCAUAUUCAUUGUUAGAAAUAAAAUAUAAUUAAAUAAAUAAAGUUGAAAUAAAUGACAAAUAGCAGGCAUGCCGAGCACUUUUUAUGGCUCUUCUACUUAUUUUAACAUUAUUUUAAUCUAUAUAUUUAUUUAUUUAUGUGUAAAAAACAGAUGAUCAUUUGAAAAGUGAGUUUAGAAGCAUUAGAAGGAAAUCGUGACGGCUAAAGCUAUGUUUAAAAGAUAGCCUAUCAGAGGUAGUAUUAAGUUUACUUUAAUGCGUAAAAGGAAAGAGAGGAAAAAAAAAAA